GACAGAGGUGCCAAGCGUUAGGCGGAAUCACUGGGCUUAAAGCGUGUGUAGGUGGAUUUGUAAGUACCUUGUGAAAUCCCACGGCUCAACCGUGGAACUGCUCGGUAUACUGCGAAUCUUGAGCCACUUAGGGGCUACUGGAACAAAUGGUGGAGCGGUGAAAUGCGUAGAUAUCAUUUGGAACGCCAAUGGUGAAAACAGGUAGCUGGGAGUGUGCUGACACUGAGACACGAAAGCCAGGGGAGCGAACGGG
RNAcentral lists this ribosomal RNA (253 nucleotides) under uncultured bacterium. RNAcentral describes it as "partial 16S ribosomal RNA". It matches the Rfam family "Bacterial small subunit ribosomal RNA", at positions 524 to 776 of the family's 1533-position model. The record is from RNAcentral.